GGAUCAUUACACAAUAAAAUAUGAAGGCUGUACGCGGCUGUGCUCUCGGGCCAGUUUUGCGGAGGCUGAAUUAUUUAUUACCCUUGUCUUUUGCGCACUUGUUGUUUCCUGGGCGGGUUCGCCCGCCACCAGGACCACAUCAUAAACCUUUUUUAUGCAGUUGCAAUCAGCGUCAGUAUAACAAAUGUAAAUCAUUUACAACUUUCAACAACGGAUCUCUUGGUUCUGGCAUCGAUGAAGAACGCAGCGAAAUGCGAUACGUAGUGUGAAUUGCAGAAUUCAGUGAAUCAUCGAAUCUUUGAACGCACAUUGCGCCCUUUGGUAUUCCAAAGGGCAUGCCUGUUCGAGCGUCAUUUGUACCCUCAAGCUUUGCUUGGUGUUGGGCGUUUUUUGUCUUUGGUUGCCAAAGACUCGCCUUAAAAGGAUUGGCAGCCGGCCUACUGGUUUCGCAGCGCAGCACAUUUUUGCGCUUGCAAUCAGCAAAAGAGGACGGCAAUCCAUCAAGACUCCUUCUCACGUUUGACCUCGGAUCAGGUAGGGAUACCCGCUGAACUUAAGCAU
RNAcentral lists this ribosomal RNA (561 nucleotides) under Curvularia lunata. RNAcentral describes it as "eukaryotic LSU rRNA". The stretch from base 200 to 353 matches the Rfam family "5.8S ribosomal RNA". The record is from RNAcentral. Lineage: Eukaryota; Fungi; Ascomycota; Dothideomycetes; Pleosporales; Pleosporaceae.